GAGAGAGAGAGAGAGAGAGAGGACACAAGCAGUGAAACCCGCACACGUUUUUUUCUCAACAACCCAAAUGAAAUGUUAAAGAAAGAAAUGAUAACGUGAAUUAAGAGAUUAUCAAGAAUGAUUGAAAUUUGAGGCUAAUAAAAGGAAGCACCGCAACUAUCGCUGUCUGAGCAGCAGCAUCAGUUCAGUGCAUGUUUAAUGACCACAGGUCGUAUAAUAUCGGGAGGGUAAGGGCCUGUUUGGUCGGCUACUGGAAACUCAAAAAGGUAAUAAUGUAUACAAAUAUAUGAUAUAACGUUGUAAUUUCCAUAAAAAAACCAGGGGUUGAUGGAUUUGAAAUCUAAUAUUGAGUUUUAGGUGAUAUAACAUGCUUGAAGUACAAGUUGAAAAGCAAAGCAAAGCUCUAAAGCACAUGCCAUGUCCU
This 424-nucleotide unclassified non-coding RNA is filed under the name Hevea brasiliensis (rubber tree). The record is from RNAcentral. Lineage: Eukaryota; Viridiplantae; Streptophyta; Magnoliopsida; Malpighiales; Euphorbiaceae.